Molecule: ribosomal RNA, 253 nt
Filed under: uncultured bacterium
Lineage: Bacteria
Description: partial 16S ribosomal RNA
Rfam family: Bacterial small subunit ribosomal RNA
Source: RNAcentral
UACGAAGGGGGCUAGCGUUGUUCGGAAUCACUGGUCGUAAAGGGCGCGUAGGCGGCCGAUCAAGUCGGGGGUGAAAGCCUGUGGCUCAACCACAGAAUUGCCUUCGAUACUGUUUGGCUUGAGACGGGAAGAGGUAAGUGGAACUGCGAGUGUAGAGGUGAAAUUCGUAGAUAUUCGCAAGAACACCAGUGGCGAAGGCGGCUUACUGGUCCGGUUCUGACGCUGAGGCGCGAAAGCGUGGGGAGCAAACAGG